Molecule: ribosomal RNA, 717 nt
Filed under: uncultured bacterium
Lineage: Bacteria
Description: bacterial SSU rRNA
Rfam family: Bacterial small subunit ribosomal RNA
Source: RNAcentral
ACGGGUGAGUAACACGUGGGUAACCUGCCCAUCAGAAGGGGAUAACACUUGGAAACAGGUGCUAAUACCGUAUAACACUAUUUUCCGCAUGGAAGAAAGUUGAAAGGCGCUUUUGCGUCACUGAUGGAUGGACCCGCGGUGCAUUAGCUAGUUGGUGAGGUAACGGCUCACCAAGGCCACGAUGCAUAGCCGACCUGAGAGGGUGAUCGGCCACACUGGGACUGAGACACGGCCCAGACUCCUACGGGAGGCAGCAGUAGGGAAUCUUCGGCAAUGGACGAAAGUCUGACCGAGCAACGCCGCGUGAGUGAAGAAGGUUUUCGGAUCGUAAAACUCUGUUGUUAGAGAAGAACAAGGAUGAGAGUAGAACGUUCAUCCCUUGACGGUAUCUAACCAGAAAGCCACGGCUAACUACGUGCCAGCAGCCGCGGUAAUACGUAGGUGGCAAGCGUUGUCCGGAUUUAUUGGGCGUAAAGCGAGCGCAGGCGGUUUCUUAAGUCUGAUGUGAAAGCCCCCGGCUCAACCGGGGAGGGUCAUUGGAAACUGGGAGACUUGAGUGCAGAAGAGGAGAGUGGAAUUCCAUGUGUAGCGGUGAAAUGCGUAGAUAUAUGGAGGAACACCAGUGGCGAAGGCGGCUCUCUGGUCUGUAACUGACGCUGAGGCUCGAAAGCGUGGGGAGCGAACAGGAUUAGAUACCCUGGUAGCCCACGCCGUAAA